UUUUAUUUUUGAAUGAUUGAA
RNAcentral lists this non-coding RNA (21 nucleotides) under Caenorhabditis elegans. Lineage: Eukaryota; Metazoa; Nematoda; Chromadorea; Rhabditida; Rhabditidae. The record is from RNAcentral.